RNAcentral lists this ribosomal RNA (276 nucleotides) under uncultured bacterium. RNAcentral's name for it is "partial 16S ribosomal RNA". It matches the Rfam family "Bacterial small subunit ribosomal RNA", at positions 333 to 626 of the family's 1533-position model. The record is from RNAcentral.
UUAUUCCUACGGGACGCAGCAGUGGGGAAUAUUGCACAAUGGGGGAAACCCUGAUGCAGCAACGCCGCGUGAGUGAAGAAGUCAUUCGUGAUGUAAAGCUCUAUCAGCAGGGAAGAAAAUGACGGUACCUGAGUAAGAAGCCCCGGCUAACUACGUGCCAGCAGCCGCGGUAAUACGUAGGGGGCAAGCGUUAUCCGGAUUUACUGGGUGUAAAGGGCGUGUAGGCGGGACUGCAAGUCAGAUGUGAAACCCAUGGGCUCAACCCAUGGCCUGCAU